AUGAUAGCUUCGGUAGCAUACAUACUAAAAUUGUAAUGAAACAGAGAAGAUUAGCAUAGACCUUGUGCAAGGAAGACACAAAUUCAUGAAGCAUUCCAUAUUUUG
This is a small nuclear RNA of Cricetulus griseus (Chinese hamster), 105 nucleotides long. Lineage: Eukaryota; Metazoa; Chordata; Mammalia; Rodentia; Cricetidae. The record is from Ensembl.